GGGGCAUUAGCUCAAUUGGCAGAGCUGCGGACUUUUAAUCCGUAGGUUCAGGGUUCGAGCCCCUGAUGCCCCAC
This 74-nucleotide transfer RNA is filed under the name Kitasatospora aureofaciens. RNAcentral describes it as "tRNA-Lys". It matches the Rfam family "tRNA". From Rfam's summary of the family: Transfer RNA (tRNA) molecules are approximately 80 nucleotides in length. Their secondary structure includes four short double-helical elements and three loops (D, anti-codon, and T loops). The record is from RNAcentral. Lineage: Bacteria; Bacillati; Actinomycetota; Actinomycetes; Kitasatosporales; Streptomycetaceae.